UUCAGCUAGCUAGAAAUUCCCUGUACUUACGUCUCCGUUUAUGGGUGACUAGACUGCGCUUCCCAAUGUGCUGAUUCAUAUCAGUGCAGCGCGGAGUCUUGGCUUGGCCCCAUUGAAAUCAGCGGACAAAUUCAUGUCACCAGAUAACAAUUCAGCACAUUUUGAAAUCGCUUUACAAUGCCCCGAGCCAAGUCUCCCCAUGGGCACAUUGUGGUGUCCUCCUUAGUUCUUCGCACUGCGCUGCUCUGGCUAACUCCUGCUGGUCUGUUUUCCCAACGACUUGGCAAACCAUUCUAUGGAUUCACUUGUUCUUGGACUUCAACUUGCGGUUUUUCUGCAUUCGCAUUCUUGUGCUUCAACAGGCGGCCAUGGCAAAUCAGCGCGGUUGUGGAUCGCAGGAACUUCUGGCCUAGUCAUUGAUGCUUUCGUCCUCGCUGCUUCAGCGAUUUGAAUGGCACAAUGGCCGCAGUUGGAUGCUUUUCAUUGGAAGUUUUAAUGAUAUGGAUAAGUAAUCAAUAUAAA
This is a long non-coding RNA of Drosophila santomea, 522 nucleotides long. RefSeq lists it as uncharacterized. The record is from RefSeq and is a predicted model, not a curated record. NCBI's taxonomy places the organism in Eukaryota, Metazoa, Arthropoda, Insecta, Diptera, Drosophilidae. The transcript is spliced from 3 exons.